This 334-nucleotide RNase P RNA is filed under the name Clostridiales bacterium. RNAcentral describes it as "RNase P RNA component class A". It matches the Rfam family "Bacterial RNase P class A". Rfam says of the family: Ribonuclease P (RNase P) is a ubiquitous endoribonuclease, found in archaea, bacteria and eukarya as well as chloroplasts and mitochondria. Its best characterised activity is the generation of mature 5'-ends of tRNAs by cleaving the 5'-leader elements of precursor-tRNAs. The record is from RNAcentral. Lineage: Bacteria; Bacillati; Bacillota; Clostridia; Eubacteriales.
GUAGUUGGUCAGACGGUCGCAUUGCCCCGAAGGGCUGUGAGGAAAGUCCGAGCAUCGCAGGGCAUGGCGCCGGGUAACUCCCGGUAGAGGCGACUCUAAGGAAAGUGCAACAGAAAACAACCGCAGCUCACGCUGUAAGGAUGAAAAGGUAGCGUAAGAGACUACCGGCGUACCGGCGACGGCGCGCGCGAUGUAAACCCCGCCCGAUGCAAGAUAGGGAACGCAAGGCUGCCCGCCGUAGUCCCCGAUAACAUCGCUCGAGCGUAUAGGUAACUAUGCGUCCAGAUAGAUGACCGUCUAAUACAGAACUCGGCUUACAGACCAAGCUACCCUA